CCUACGGUGGGCUGCAGUGGGGGAUAUUGCACAAUGGCCGGAACCCUGAUCCAGCGACGCCGCGUGGGUGAAGAAGCGCCUCGGCGCGUAAAGCCCUGUCAGCAGGGAAGAAAAUGACGGUACCUGAAGAAGAAGCCCCGGCUAACUACGUACCAGCAGCCGCGGUCAUACGUAGGGGGCAAGCGUUAUCAGGAUUUACUGGUUGUAACGGGUGCGCAGGCGGUGAUGAAAGCCAGGAGUGAAAGCCCGGGGCCCAACCCGGGGAGUGCUCUUGAAACUGCGUGGCUGGAGUGCAGGAGGGGCAGGCGGAAUGCCUGGUGUAGCGGUGAAAUGCGUAGAUAUCAGGAGGAACACCGGUGGCGAAGGCGGCCUGCUGGACUGCAACUGACGCUGAGGCCCGAAAGCGUGGGGAGCAAACAGGAUUAGAUACCCUAGUAGUC
This 440-nucleotide ribosomal RNA is filed under the name uncultured bacterium. RNAcentral's name for it is "partial 16S ribosomal RNA". It matches the Rfam family "Bacterial small subunit ribosomal RNA", at positions 338 to 795 of the family's 1533-position model. The record is from RNAcentral.